Molecule: ribosomal RNA, 253 nt
Filed under: uncultured bacterium
Lineage: Bacteria
Description: partial 16S ribosomal RNA
Rfam family: Bacterial small subunit ribosomal RNA
Source: RNAcentral
UACAGAGGUCUCAAGCGUUGUUCGGAUUCAUUGGGCGUAAAGGGUGCGUAGGCGGCGCGGUAAGUCGGGUGUGAAAUCUCGGAGCUUAACUCCGAAACUGCAUUCGAUACUGCCGUGCUUGAGGACUGGAGAUGAGACUGGAAUUUACGGUGUAGCAGUGAAAUGCGUAGAUAUCGUAAGGAAGGCCGGUGGCGAAAGCGAGCCUCUGGACAGUUACUGACGCUGAUGCACGAAGGCCAGGGGAGCAAACGGG